RNAcentral lists this ribosomal RNA (273 nucleotides) under uncultured bacterium. RNAcentral describes it as "partial 16S ribosomal RNA". It matches the Rfam family "Bacterial small subunit ribosomal RNA", at positions 524 to 796 of the family's 1533-position model. The record is from RNAcentral.
UACGAGGGGAGCUAGCGUUAUUCGGAAUUACUGGGCGUAAAGCGCACGUAGGCGGCUUUGUAAGUUAGAGGUGAAAGCCCAGAGCUCAACUCUGGAAUUGCCUUUAAGACUGCAUCGCUUGAAUCCAGGAGAGGUGAGUGGAAUUCCGAGUGUAGAGGUGAAAUUCGUAGAUAUUCGGAAGAACACCAGUGGCGAAGGCGGCUCACUGGACUGGUAUUGACGCUGAGGUGCGAAAGCGUGGGGAGCAAACAGGAUUAGAAACCCCCGUAGUCC